Molecule: non-coding RNA, 2206 nt
Organism: Poecilia reticulata (guppy)
Lineage: Eukaryota; Metazoa; Chordata; Actinopteri; Cyprinodontiformes; Poeciliidae
Source: RefSeq, a predicted model, not a curated record
AGAGACUAAACACGCUCAUAAUGCAGAUUGAUCUUUUUUUAAAAUAGAUUUUGUUGUAGAUUAAAUGGAUUCUGUGCUUAUGGAGGAGACAGGCCUAUAGAAAACACCAAUUAUCAUAAUUUUGUACUGCCAGGUGUUUUAGUUUGAAAUUACUAAACAUAAAAUUAAAGAAAAUUAAUUAAACUGAAUGUUUAUAAGGACAUUUUUUUAAAAACCAAAUAUACAUUCUUCCAACAAACUGUGUGAAAAUAAUAACACUAACAAUAAUUGGGGUGAAAAAACGGUUUAUGUAUGAACUGUGGAAACACUAUCAGUUGAAAAGUUCGACGCAGUCCUACUUCCGGUUAACCGUUGACUACUUCCUGUUAGCGACCUGCCAGUUCGAACUGACUUGGAGGAGCAGCUCGGCUGUAGCCCGUAACCAGGGGAUCCCUCCUGGAUUAACCGUUAAAAAACCCCACGGCUGGACGUGGAUAAAACACAUUUCCGACCGUAAAAAUGAUUUUCGCUUAUUUUCGUCGAUGUUUGCAGCUUCCGGUUCUCCUCUCAGCGCUGCUCGGCGGAGUUUAGGCGAGAAAACUCAGAUAAAAGAUGGAGUCCAGCAGCGACUGUCUGUCCCCGGAGUCGACCGUCACGUCUCUGCUGUCGCGCUCCGGCCACCUGCGCAGCGGCCUGCAGCCUCCGGGCCGCAGCGCCACCUUCAGGUUCAGAGACCAGGACUUUGCGUCGGCGUCGGCGGCGCUGGACGCCUACAUCGCAGACUUCGACCGCAGCUGCCAGCAGUGCAGGUCGCUGACGGCGUCGCUGGUUCUGCCGCGCAGCCGGCCGGCCAAUCACGGGACGGCCAGAAACAGAGACGUCCUGCGGGAGCGUCUGACCGACGGGGAGCUGGACUUCCUCAGCCUCCCCGUCAGCUCCCUCCAUCACCGCCGCGACCGCGUCUCCAUGACGACGGAGGAGCUGCUGUCCAUCCCCUGCGACGGCUCGCUGCCCGUCACUCACACGUCUGCCUUCAUUCGAGGCGUCCUGUGCCGGUCCGGGGAUUCUGAACCGGCCGGAUCCAGACUCGGCAGCAGCCAUGCUGCUCACCAACGCCGUCACCUGGACCCGGAGCCUCCAGACCAGAACCAGGACCAGAACCAGAACCAUUUUCCUGCCAGGACCUCCAGGUCGAGGGAGAAGCUGCAGACGGACAGACUGAGCCAGUCGGCUGACGUUCCCGCUUCUGCACACAGAGACCUGCACCUCCCUCGCUGGCUGACCAGCAACAAGUCGGCCCUGGGCUGCUCCGAGGUCAGCAGCCUGCCGGACCUGACCUACCCCAGCUGGGUCCUGCGCGCCGCCGCCGCCGCCGAGCCGCCGCCCUGGGAGGAGAGCGGCGACGCUCCGCCUGGAGCGGCCAGAGGCAGAGCUCCGUCCUGGGUGUUGGACCUGGAGAAGGACGGAGAGCUGAGGGCAGCGCCAGCCCAGCUGAGAGGGAGGUCAAAGGCUGAAGGCGAGCAGACGCUCAGAGAGCUGCGGCUGCAGCUGGCCGAACACAUCUCUGCCCUCACCGCCGAGGGGAACGGCUCCGGCGGCCUGGCGGCGCCGUUCAGAGACAGCAGGAUCGAGUCUCUGAUCCAGAAGGCCGAUCAGGUUCUGGACGCCCUGAGUUCUGGAGGAGCAGGAGGUUCUGGAGGAGCAGGAGGUUCUGGAGGAGCAGGAGGUUCUGGAGGAGCAGGAGGUUCUGGAGGAGCAGGAGGUUCUGGAGGAGCAGCGAGUCCCGUCGGCACCGAGGACCUGCUGCGCUCGUCGCCUCCUCGCUGUCCCUCCUCCACUCUAACCUCCGGAGCCACAGAGCUGGAGUCGGAUCGGACUCUGCUGGACGAGGAGGUGUUGAGCAGCGGUUACCGUGGAAACGACACCUGCACGCAGCCCGGCCCGGUGGAGGCCGUGAAGCAGAUGCUGUUCCGGCUGCAGGCCGUGGAGGCGGAGCUUCAGAGGCAGCGGAUGGACGCCGGCGGACAGAAGACGCCCGAGAAACAGUUCGGUUCCAGGUGUUUUGUGUGAUUUGUCGCCCCCUGCUGGUCCGGUUGUGGUAAAACGGGAGCCGAUCUGUGUUCGCAGGAAGCCGACGUGGAUCCAGAGCUGCAGAGUUUCCCAGGAAGUCCGUCGCUGAAGAGAGUCGGGCUGUACCUGAACCGCCUGAAGAUGCUGGUGGAGGAUC